RNAcentral lists this ribosomal RNA (413 nucleotides) under uncultured Desulfobulbus sp. Its description in RNAcentral is "bacterial SSU rRNA". It matches the Rfam family "Bacterial small subunit ribosomal RNA", at positions 976 to 1382 of the family's 1533-position model. The record is from RNAcentral. Lineage: Bacteria; Pseudomonadati; Thermodesulfobacteriota; Desulfobulbia; Desulfobulbales; Desulfobulbaceae.
UGGUCUUGACAUCCCGGAGACCCUUAGGAAACUAGGGGGUGCUUUCCAUCUGGAAGAAUCUGGAGACAGGUGCUGCAUGGCUGUCGUCAGCUCGUGUCGUGAGAUGUUGGGUUAAGUCCCGCAACGAGCGCAACCCUUGCCUUUAGUUGCCAGCAGUUCGGCUGGGCACUCUAAAGGGACUGCCGGUGUUAAACCGGAGGAAGGUGGGGAUGACGUCAAGUCCUCAUGGCCUUUAUGACCAGGGCUACACACGUACUACAAUGGCCGAUACAAAGGGCAGCGACACUGCGAGGUGAAGCCAAUCCCGUAAAAUCGGUCUCAGUCCGGAUUGGAGUCUGCAACUCGACUCCAUGAAGUUGGAAUCGCUAGUAAUCGUGGAUCAGCAUGCCACGGUGAAUACGUUCCCGGGCCUU